CAGUCGCCACGGGAAUACGGAGGGUGCAAGCGUUGUCCGGAUUCACUGGGUUUAAAGGGUGCGUAGGCGGGCAGGUAAGUCAGUGGUGAAAUCUUCGAGCUUAACUCGGAAACUGCCGUUGAUACUAUCUGUCUUGAAUAACGUUGAGGUGAGCGGAAUAUGUCAUGUAGCGGUGAAAUGCUUAGAUAUGACAUAGAACACCGAUUGCGAAGGCAGCUCACUAAACGCUCAUUGACGCUGAGGCACGAAAGCGUGGGGAUCAAACAGGAUUAGAUACCCCAGUAGUCCCUGUCUCUUAUAC
RNAcentral lists this ribosomal RNA (301 nucleotides) under uncultured bacterium. Its description in RNAcentral is "partial 16S ribosomal RNA". It matches the Rfam family "Bacterial small subunit ribosomal RNA", at positions 509 to 807 of the family's 1533-position model. The record is from RNAcentral.